This 338-nucleotide long non-coding RNA is filed under the name Cyanistes caeruleus (blue tit). Its description in RNAcentral is "lncRNA (ENSCCEG00000004938.1)". Lineage: Eukaryota; Metazoa; Chordata; Aves; Passeriformes; Paridae. The record is from RNAcentral.
UAACACAGAACCCAGGGGACUUCAUGGCAUCCUACAGCAGAACUUCCGAGUGACCUCAGAAGAACCUGUUGUGCUCACGUCCUCCCACUUUUUGGAGAACAGAGUUUCUCUUACAAAGCUGAGCCAAAAUACAGGGACCUCAAUUCUAGCCAUGGCUUUGAAGCUGCUCCACUGGAAAACUUGGGAGCCUCAUGCUGUGUGUGGUUCCUGGAGCUGGGUUUGGCACCCCAAAACACCCUGCUUGCUGAGCCAUGCCUGCCUCCUCUUGUGGGGAUGCCUCCAGUCUCAGGAAGUACAAGAGGAAAGCUGGAAUGGAGACCAUAGCACCUGAAUUUUCC